GUGGAGUAGUAAUACUGUCUAGUGGGAGGUGGGGUAGUAAUGCUGUCUAGUGGGAGGUGGGGUAGCGGUUCAUAUAGAGAGUCAUCUUCUGAAGGAGUUGUGCAUGUUUCUGGUGAGAGAUGCUGUCUAGUGGGAGGUGGGGUAGUAAUACUGUCUGGUGAGAGAUGCUGUCUAGUGGGAGGUGGGGUAGUAAUGCUGUCUGGUGAGAGAUGCUGUCUAGUGGGAGGUGGGGUAGCGGUUCAUAUAGAGAGUCAUCUUCUGAAGGAGUUGUGCAUGUUUCUGGUGAGAGAUGCUGUCUAGUGGGAGGUGGAGUAGUAAUACUGUCUAGUGGGAGGUGGGGUAGUAAUGCUGUCUAGUGGGAGGUGGGGUAGCGGUUCAUAUAGAGAGUCAUCUUCUGAAGGAGUUGUGCAUGUUUCUGGUGAGAGAUGCUGUCUAGUGGGAGGUGGAGUAGUAAUACUGUCUAGUGGGAGGUGGGGUAGUAAUGCUGUCUAGUGGGAGGUGGGGUAGCGGUUCAUAUAGAGAGUCAUCUUCUGAAGGAGUUGUGCAUGUUUCUGGUGAGAGAUGCUGUCUAGUGGGAGGUGGGGUAGUAAUACUGUCUAGUGGGAGGUGGGGUAGCGGUUCAUAGAGAGAGUCAUCUUCUGAAGGAGUUGUGCAUGUUUCUGGUGAGAGAUGCUGUCUAGUGGGAGGUGGGGUAGUAAUACUGUCUGGUGAGAGAUGCUGUCUAGUGGGAGGUGGGGUAGUAAUGCUGUCUGGUGAGAGAUGCUGUCUAGUGGGAGGUGGGGUAGCGGUUCAUAUAGAGAGUCAUCUUCU
This is a non-coding RNA of Oncorhynchus mykiss (rainbow trout), 810 nucleotides long. The record is from RefSeq and is a predicted model, not a curated record. Lineage: Eukaryota; Metazoa; Chordata; Actinopteri; Salmoniformes; Salmonidae.